UGUUCUAUGGCCGAACUGGUAAAGGCAUUGCCGAUCACAGGCAAGCUUGCGGGUUCGAGUCCCGCUGGAACGG
This 73-nucleotide transfer RNA is filed under the name Operophtera brumata (winter moth). It matches the Rfam family "tRNA". Rfam says of the family: Transfer RNA (tRNA) molecules are approximately 80 nucleotides in length. Their secondary structure includes four short double-helical elements and three loops (D, anti-codon, and T loops). The record is from Rfam by way of RNAcentral. Lineage: Eukaryota; Metazoa; Arthropoda; Insecta; Lepidoptera; Geometridae.